UGGGGAAUAUUGGACAAUGGGCGGAAGCCUGCUCCAGCAAUGCCGCGUGUGUGAAGAAGGCCUGAGGGUUGUAAAGCACUUUCAGCGGGGAGAAAGAGCUCGUUGCUAAUAUCAACGAAGGAUGAUGUUACCCGCAGAAGAAGCACCGGCUAACUCUGUGCCAGCAGCCGCGGUAAUACAGAGGGUGCGAGCGUUAAUCGGAAUUACUGGGCGUAAAGGGUGCGUAGGUGGUUUAGUAAGUUAGAUGUGAAAUUCCUGGGCUUAACCUGGGGACUGCGUCUGAUACUGCUAGGCUAGAGUACUGUAGAGGGAAGUGGAAUUUCCGGUGUAGCAGUGAAAUGCGUAGAUAUCGGAAGGAACAUCAGUGGCGAAGGCGACUUCCUGGACAGAUACUGACACUGAGGCACGAAAGCGUGGGGAGCAAACAGG
Molecule: ribosomal RNA, 429 nt
Filed under: uncultured bacterium
Lineage: Bacteria
Description: bacterial SSU rRNA
Rfam family: Bacterial small subunit ribosomal RNA
Source: RNAcentral